UGGGGAAUAUUGCACAAUGGGCGGAAGCCUGAUGCAGCGACGCCGCGUGGGGGAUGAAGGCCUUCGGGUUGUAAACUCCUUUCGACAGGGACGAAGCUUUUGUGACGGUACCUGUAUAAGAAGCACCGGCUAACUACGUGCCAGCAGCCGCGGUAAUACGUAGGGUGCGAGCGAUUUCCGGAAUUACUGGGCGUAAAUAGCUCGUAGGUGGUUUGUCGCGUCGUCUGUGAAAUUCCGGGGUUUAACUCCGGGCGUGCAGGCGAUACGGGCUGACUUGAGUGCUGUAGGGGAGACUGGAAUUCCUGGUGUAGUGGUGAAAUGCGCAGAUAUCAGGAGGAACACCGAUGGCGAAGGCAGGUCUCUGGGCAGUAACUGACGCUGAGGAGCGAAAGCAUGGGUGGCGAACAGG
RNAcentral lists this ribosomal RNA (409 nucleotides) under Actinomycetes bacterium. RNAcentral describes it as "Actinobacteria bacterium partial 16S ribosomal RNA". It matches the Rfam family "Bacterial small subunit ribosomal RNA", at positions 355 to 776 of the family's 1533-position model. Lineage: Bacteria; Bacillati; Actinomycetota; Actinomycetes. The record is from RNAcentral.